AGUGAACGCUGGCGGUAGGCCUAACACAUGCAAGUCGAACGGCAGCACAGUAAGAGCUUGCUCUUACGGGUGGCGAGUGGCGGACGGGCGAGGAAUACAUCGGAAUCUACUUUUUCGUGGGGGAUAACGUAGGGAAACUUACGCUAAUACCGCAUACGACCUACGGGUGAAAGCAGGGGAUCUUCGGACCUUGCGCGAUUGAAUGAGACGAUGUCGGAUUAGCUAGUUGGCGGGGUAAAGGCCCACCAAGGCGACGAUCCGUAGCUGGUCUGAGAGGAUGAUCAGCCACACUGGAACUGAGACACGGUCCAGACUCCUACGGGAGGCAGCAGUGGGGAAUAUUGGACAAUGGGCGCAAGCCUGAUCCAGCCAUACCGCGUGGGUGAAGAAGGCCUUCGGGUUGUAAAGCCCUUUUGUUGGGAAAGAAAAGCAGCAGGUUAAUACCCCGCUGUUCUGACGGUACCCAAAGAAUAAGCACCGGCUAACUUCGUG
This 492-nucleotide ribosomal RNA is filed under the name uncultured bacterium. RNAcentral's name for it is "partial 16S ribosomal RNA". It matches the Rfam family "Bacterial small subunit ribosomal RNA", at positions 29 to 507 of the family's 1533-position model. The record is from RNAcentral.